GGAAAGACAUAAAUAAAUAUAAGAUAUUCUUAUAUUUAUAAUUUUAUUUGUCUGUUUAGCAGUCAGUUGAUAUUAGUAUAACAUUUAACUUUAUUUGGACUUUCUGAUCAAUUCUAUUGGGCUUAUGCAAUGGUGCAUGCACCAUUUUCAAUUGUGGAUUUAGGAUCCUCUCAUGGUAAAAUUAAUAUUAUUAUAUGCCAUAAUCAAUCCAAAUUGUUGAAUCCAGAAAAAAAAAAUAGAUUACUAUAAAGCAUCAUGCAUUUUAUUUUUUUGAAUCCAAAAUGUUCACUAAAAUUUGCAGAUGAGCUUUGAAACAUUUGAAGGACAAAAAAU
RNAcentral lists this unclassified non-coding RNA (333 nucleotides) under Hevea brasiliensis (rubber tree). The record is from RNAcentral. Lineage: Eukaryota; Viridiplantae; Streptophyta; Magnoliopsida; Malpighiales; Euphorbiaceae.